ACGCAUCACUGGUGUUCGGGUUGUCAUGCCAAUGGCAUUGCCCGGUAGCUAAAUGCGGAAGAGAUAAGUGCUGAAAGCAUCUAAGCACGAAACUUGCCCCGAGAUGAGUUCUCCCUGACUCCUUGAGGGUCCUGAAGGAACGUUGAAGACGACGACGUUGAUAGGCCGGGUGUGUAAGCGCAGCGAUGCGUUGAGCUAACCGGUACUAAUGAACCGUGAGGCUUAACCUUACAACGCCGAAG
This 242-nucleotide ribosomal RNA is filed under the name Klebsiella oxytoca. Its description in RNAcentral is "partial 23S ribosomal RNA". It matches the Rfam family "Bacterial large subunit ribosomal RNA", at positions 2701 to 2925 of the family's 2925-position model. Lineage: Bacteria; Pseudomonadati; Pseudomonadota; Gammaproteobacteria; Enterobacterales; Enterobacteriaceae. The record is from RNAcentral.